This 318-nucleotide long non-coding RNA is filed under the name Salvia miltiorrhiza (redroot sage). RNAcentral describes it as "long non-coding RNA (SMIL_LNC002995)". The record is from RNAcentral. Lineage: Eukaryota; Viridiplantae; Streptophyta; Magnoliopsida; Lamiales; Lamiaceae.
CCUUUUUCUUUACCUCCAUCUUGAGGUGGUGUACAUAUCUUGUUUGUGCGUGAACUUUUUCCUUCUCCAAUUGUUGUAGUGACUCGGUGGUGAGAAUCUCGUUCAUUGCUUGUUCCUUCAUAAUAUCUCCCUAGUUUACUAGGGAAAUUGAAAAUCUCAUGCCGCGAUUCAUUUACGAACUUCUUUACGCAUUUCUCAUUAUUCAUUUAUAAAUGACUUAAAUAAGCAUUUUAAACUCCAUUAAAAAGGAAUUGAUUUAAAACAUUUUAAUCCUUUUAAAAUCCAUACUUAUAAAGCCUUAACUCAUGCUCUAUCUCA